Molecule: non-coding RNA, 44 nt
Filed under: Schistosoma mansoni
Lineage: Eukaryota; Metazoa; Platyhelminthes; Trematoda; Strigeidida; Schistosomatidae
Source: RNAcentral
GUGAAAUGGCGAGUCCCAAAUAGGACGAAACGUGCGUCCUGGAU